Molecule: ribosomal RNA, 140 nt
Filed under: uncultured bacterium
Lineage: Bacteria
Description: partial 16S ribosomal RNA
Rfam family: Bacterial small subunit ribosomal RNA
Source: RNAcentral
UGGGGAAUAUUGGGCAAUGGGCGCAAGCCUGACCCAGCAACGCCGCGUGAAGGAAGAAGGCUUUCGGGUUGUAAACUUCUUUUAUGAGGGACGAAAGAAAUGACGGUACCUCAUGAAUAAGCCACGGCUAACUACGUGCC